RNAcentral lists this unclassified non-coding RNA (182 nucleotides) under uncultured Ascomycota. RNAcentral describes it as "sequence contains ITS2". The record is from RNAcentral. Lineage: Eukaryota; Fungi; Ascomycota.
CAACCCUCGGACCCCCGUGGCCUCGCGCCCCGGGGGACCGGUGUUGGGGAUCGGGCUGCCCUUCGUAGGCGGUCCGCCCCCUAAAUACAGUGGCGGGCCCGCCGCGGCCUCCCCUGCGUAGUAGCACACCUCGCAGGCGGAGCGCGGCGCGUCCCAGCCGUAAAACCCCCCAAAUUUUACAA